RNAcentral lists this ribosomal RNA (116 nucleotides) under Klebsiella pneumoniae. The record is from RNAcentral. Lineage: Bacteria; Pseudomonadati; Pseudomonadota; Gammaproteobacteria; Enterobacterales; Enterobacteriaceae.
CCUGGCGUCAAUAGCGCGGGGGUCCCAACUGUACCCAUGCCGAACUCAGAAGUGAAACGCCGUAGCGCCGAUGGUAGUGUGGGGUCUCCCCAUGUGAGAGUAGGGAACUGCCAGGC